Molecule: ribosomal RNA, 460 nt
Filed under: uncultured bacterium
Lineage: Bacteria
Description: partial 16S ribosomal RNA
Rfam family: Bacterial small subunit ribosomal RNA
Source: RNAcentral
CCUACGGGUGGCAGCAGUGAGGAAUAUUGGUCAAUGGCCGUAAGCCUGAACCAGCAAAGCAGCGUGAGGGAAGAAUGCCCUCUGGGUUGUAACUUCUUUUUAUGCGGGGAAAAAGGUGUCCACGUGUGGAUGAUUGCAGGUACCGCAUCAAUACGGACCGGCCAAUUACGUGCCAGCAGCCGCGGUAAUACGGAAGGUCCGGGCGUUAUCCGGUUUUAAUGUGUUUAAAGGGGGCGUAGGUGGGUCGUGAUGGGUGCCGUGAAAUUUUGUGGCUCAACACUGUUAGUGCGGGGGAAACUGGGGAACUUGAGUGCGCGGGAGGCAGGCGGAAUUCGUGGUGUAGCGGUGAAAUGCUUAGAUAUCAGGAAGAACACCGAUAGCGAAGGCAGAUUACUGGAGCGUUACUGACGCUGAGGCUCGAAAGCGCGGGUAGCAAACAGGAUUAGAUACCCCGGUAGUC